Molecule: non-coding RNA, 72 nt
Organism: Phrynosoma platyrhinos (Desert horned lizard)
Lineage: Eukaryota; Metazoa; Chordata; Lepidosauria; Squamata; Phrynosomatidae
Source: the annotation of a GenBank genome assembly
GCCAUCAUAGCACAGUGGUUUGAGCGUUGGACUACAACUCUGGAGACCAGGGUUCAAUUCCCAGCUUGGAUA